Molecule: ribosomal RNA, 467 nt
Filed under: uncultured bacterium
Lineage: Bacteria
Description: partial 16S ribosomal RNA
Rfam family: Bacterial small subunit ribosomal RNA
Source: RNAcentral
GACGAACGCUGGCGGCGUGCUUAACACAUGCAAGUCGAACGGAAAGGCCCUGCUUUUGUGGGGUGCUCGAGUGGCGAACGGGUGAGUAACACGUGAGUAACCUGCCCUUGACUUUGGGAUAACUUCAGGAAACUGGGGCUAAUACCGGAUAGGAGCUCCUGCUGCAUGGUGGGGGUUGGAAAGUUUCGGCGGUUGGGGAUGGACUCGCGGCUUAUCAGCUUGUUGGUGGGGUAGUGGCUUACCAAGGCUUUGACGGGUAGCCGGCCUGAGAGGAUGACCGGCCACAUUGGGACUGAGAUACGGCCCAGACUCCUACGGGAGGCAGCAGUGGGGAAUAUUGCACAAUGGGCGGAAGCCUGAUGCAGCAACGCCGCGUGCGGGAUGACGGCCUUCGGGUUGUAAACCGCUUUCGCCUGUGACGAAGCGUGAGUGACGGUAAUGGGUAAAGAAGCACCGGCUAACUACGU